UGGGGAACAUUGCACAAUGGGCGAAAGCCUGAUGCAGCAACGCCGCGUGAGUGAUGAAGGUCUUCGGAUUGUAAAGCUCUGUCUUUUGGGACGAUAAUGACGGUACCAAAGGAGGAAGCCACGGCUAACUACGUGCCAGCAGCCGCGGUAAUACGUAGGUGGCGAGCGUUGUCCGGAUUUACUGGGCGUAAAGGGUGCGUAGGCGGAUGUUUAAGUGAGAUGUGAAAUACCCGGGCUUAACUUGGGUGCUGCAUUUCAAACUGGAUAUCUAGAGUGCAGGAGAGGAGAAUGGAAUUCCUAGUGUAGCGGUGAAAUGCGUAGAGAUUAGGAAGAACACCAGUGGCGAAGGCGAUUCUCUGGACUGUAACUGACGCUGAGGCACGAAAGCGUGGGUAGCAAACAGGAUUAGAUACCCUGGUAGUCCACGCCGUAAACGAUGAGUACUAGGUGUAGGAGGUAUCGACCCCCUCUGUGCCGCAGUAAACACAUUAAGUACUCCGCCUGGGAAGUACGAUCGCAAGAUUAAAACUCUAAAGUGAAUUGAC
Molecule: ribosomal RNA, 545 nt
Filed under: uncultured bacterium
Lineage: Bacteria
Description: partial 16S ribosomal RNA
Rfam family: Bacterial small subunit ribosomal RNA
Source: RNAcentral